Molecule: ribosomal RNA, 421 nt
Filed under: uncultured bacterium
Lineage: Bacteria
Description: bacterial SSU rRNA
Rfam family: Bacterial small subunit ribosomal RNA
Source: RNAcentral
GUAAGGAAUAUUGCUCAAUGGGAGAAAUCCUGAAGCAGCAACGCCGCGUGGAGGAUGAAGGGUCUAUGACUUGUAAACCCCUGUAAAGAAGGAAAAAAUUCCCAUUUGAUGGGAGAUGAUGGUACUUCUGGAGUAAGCCCCGGCUAACUACGUGCCAGCAGCCGCGGUAAUACGUAGGGGGCAAGCGUUGUCCGGAUUUACUGGGUGUAAAGGGUGCUCAGGCGGAUUUGUAAGUCAGAGGUGAAAUCUUACAGCUUAACUGUGAAACUGCCUUUGAUACUGCAAGCCUAGAGUAUGGAAGAGAGUGAUGGAAUAUCUGGUGUAGCAGUGAAAUGCGUAGAUAUCAGAUAGAACACCAAUGGCGAAGGCAGUCACUUGGUCCAUUACUGACGCUAAAGCACGAAAGCGUGGGUAGCAAACA